UCUUGUGGCAGGGUUUCCUAAGAGCAAUAAAAGAGAGGAACAGACAGAUGUAUUUCAGAGCGGUUGGAGAUUUGUAACUGAAAGCACAUCUCUGUCUGCUCUCCUCGCGAGAAACAAAGAA
Xiphophorus couchianus (Monterrey platyfish) is the source of this 121-nucleotide long non-coding RNA. RefSeq lists it as uncharacterized. The transcript has 3 exons. The record is from RefSeq and is a predicted model, not a curated record. Lineage: Eukaryota; Metazoa; Chordata; Actinopteri; Cyprinodontiformes; Poeciliidae.